This 465-nucleotide ribosomal RNA is filed under the name Vreelandella stevensii. RNAcentral's name for it is "partial 16S ribosomal RNA". It matches the Rfam family "Bacterial small subunit ribosomal RNA", at positions 338 to 795 of the family's 1533-position model. The record is from RNAcentral. Lineage: Bacteria; Pseudomonadati; Pseudomonadota; Gammaproteobacteria; Oceanospirillales; Halomonadaceae.
CCUACGGGAGGCAGCAGUGGGGAAUAUUGGACAAUGGGGGGAACCCUGAUCCAGCCAUGCCGCGUGUGUGAAGAAGGCCCUCGGGUUGUAAAGCACUUUCAGUGAGGAAGAACGCCUGGUGGUUAAUACCCAUCAGGAAAGACAUCACUCACAGAAGAAGCACCGCCUAACUCCGUGCCAGCAGCCGCGGUAAUACGGAGGGUGCGAGCGUUAAUCGGAAUUACUGGGCGUAAAGCGCGCGUAGGUGGCUUGAUAAGCCGGUUGUGAAAGCCCCGGGCUCAACCUGGGAACGGCAUCCGGAACUGUCAAGCUAGAGUGCAGGAGAGGAAGGUAGAAUUCCCGGUGUAGCGGUGAAAUGCGUAGAGAUCGGGAGGAAUACCAGUGGCGAAGGCGGCCUUCUGGACUGACACUGACACUGAGGUGCGAAAGCGUGGGUAGCAAACAGGAUUAGAUACCCCAGUAGUC